This 468-nucleotide ribosomal RNA is filed under the name uncultured bacterium. RNAcentral's name for it is "SSU rRNA". It matches the Rfam family "Bacterial small subunit ribosomal RNA", at positions 26 to 518 of the family's 1533-position model. The record is from RNAcentral.
AGGACGAACGCUGGCGGCGUGCCUAACACAUGCAAGUCGAACGGAGCCCGCAAGGGUUCAGUGGCGAACGGGUGCGUAACACGUGAGGAACUUGUCCAUCGGCGGGGGAUAGCCGGCCCAACGGCCGGGUAAUACCGCGUACGCCGUCCGGAGCGCAUGCUCUGGCCGGGAAAGCAGCAAUGCACCGAUGGAGAGCCUCGCGGCCUAUCAGCUAGUUGGUGGGGUAAUGGCCUACCAAGGCGACGACGGGUAGCUGGUCUGAGAGGAUGACCAGCCACAUUGGGACUGAGACACGGCCCAGACUCCUACGGAGGCAGCAGUGGGGAAUAUUGCGCAAUGGGCGAAAGCCUGACGCAGCGACGCCGCGUGUGGGAUGACGGCCUUCGGGUUGUAAACCACUGUCGCGAGGGACGAAGAUCUGACGGUACCUCGAAAGGAAGCACCGGCUAACUCUGUGCCAGCAGCCGC